Molecule: long non-coding RNA, 4871 nt
Organism: Panicum virgatum (switchgrass)
Lineage: Eukaryota; Viridiplantae; Streptophyta; Magnoliopsida; Poales; Poaceae
Exons: 2
Source: RefSeq, a predicted model, not a curated record
CCAGCUUGCAGACCUGCUCACCAAGCCCCUUGGGAGGAUCAAGUUCCUUGAGCUCUGCUCCAGGACCGGGAUGGUCCAAUCCUCCCACAAGACGACGCACAAGACUUAGGGGGAGAAUGAUGGAUAAGUCUUUGUGCUGGAUGGAUAAGGCAUAGGGUCCUUGCAAGGACCAGAUCAUCUAUUCCUUUAGCAUAUUUCAGUUUGCUAGGACAGUCAGUUUGCUAGGACAGCAUCUAGCUUUAGUUCUUUUGACUAGCAUCUUAGCAUCUUUUGGCUGCCUGCCCUGGCUGACUAUAAGUAUGUAUCCCCAGCCCCUUGGGUUGGUAUGGCUGAGUUUGUGAAUAUGAGAAAAUCAGAAAAUUGCCCCAAGUUCAUUGUCAUCCUCUCAGCUCAAUGAGAGUUAGAAUUGAGCUCCUAACAGCACUUGUAUUCUUUCUUUCAAUGUUCCAUGUGGUUACGGUGGAUCUUGGUGGAAAGCAUAAUUACCCCUCGAAACACUAACCUUUCAUGAUUGCUAUUGGGAAAUAUCGCUGAUAAUCUUUUGCCGAUUAGUCGGCCUUAUCGUUCCUUUAACACCGAUAAGGAGUAACGACUAGGUCGGGCGACUACUAGAAUUCUAGUCAGUCCGAUUAGUCGUCGAUUAGUCGCGAUUAGUCGGCCGACUAGGCUGGGAAAACGAUCAAUUUGCGUAAAUGUAAUGGGCCACGUUCACUGGGCAGUUUGCGACUACUAGCUGGUAUUAGGCCCCCAUUAGGUUUUAGGAUAUAUGCACAGCACACCUUCUUUCCCCCAGCAGCCGUCGCCCAAAUCGCGAGCCAGAAACACGCCUCUUCUCCGCCAAAAGUUGUUGCUCGCCGCCCGCGAAGGCCUUCCCUCCGCUGGCUCCUCUGUUCUCAAGGCGUCGCUCUAGGCGGGGACGCCUAGGGCGUCCCAUGCGCCGUUCCACCGAGUUGCGCCUUUGCUCGCCUAGACGCCCGCCUGCUCGCCUAGGCGUCCAGCCGCCCCACCUUGCUAGGCGUCCGCCUUACCGCCUUGAGAACAGAGGCUGGCGCAUCAAGGAAGGAGGAGCGUGCAGCUGCCGUGGAAGCUGCUCCGGAGCUCCCAGCGACCCAACAUCUCUGUUUUGACGGUCCCCCAAGGGGUUCCCGCUGCCCGGGAGCUCGCCCCUGCCACCCAAGACGUCGCCGCCACCCAGGAGCUCCUCCUCCUCGCCACCGCCCAGGAGGUCGCCACAAAUCGGCAAGGUUAUGGAGUAUGGGAAUGGGAUAGGAACAUGGAGUUUGAAAGCUCACUCAUCAAAUCUCGCAAGUGAACAACUGACCAUCAUUGCGGUGUUCAUGCUUGAUAUAUACUAUGUAAUGUAUAGUAUACAUAUCAUAUCGUCCUGGUAUGAUAGGACGACUAUACAGACGACUAAUCGGCCUGAUCGACGACUAAUCUCGACUAAUCACCUUAUCGGUGCCAUGGCGACUAGGUUCGACUGGACGACUGUAAAACAUUGGUGCAGCUAUUGUUUUUAGUUUAUCCUUUAUGUGGUAUAAAAUGGCUUUUCUAAGUACAAAUAAAUUCUUUGUUCCCCUUCUGCAUGUGUAUUUCCUUUUAGAAACAUCUGGAAGAUUUUACCAUCUUGGACAUGGUUAGUCUGCAAACUUCUUUCCAUCAUUGCAUAUUUGGAGCUGCAUGUCGAUUUCUGCAGUUGCAUAUACUAUUACUGUUCCCAAAUACUCAUUCAAUUGGCCAUGAUGUAUAUAUGUGAUUUUGCCUUUCGUCUUCUUAUUGUUGGUUGGAUGAUAACAGAAUAUAUUCUUGUUUAAGUUAUAAUUGUGCAACCCGGUUUGUUUCUAGCAACAUGGGCAGACUAAAAUGGUUGUCUUAAUUCUAAGGUGAUUCUGAUAGUGGCCACAACUAUCAUAUUGUUGCUCUUUUUAUUGUUUGUUAUUUUGAAAAUAUUUCUCUUCAGUUAAGCCGGCCGUGAGUUCGAGGCCUAAUAUUCUUGACCAAAGUAUGUCAUCCUAAAAUGAUUUUAUUUAAGUAGUAAUAAACCACCAAUUUGCAUUCCACACGAGGAAAGGUGAACAUGAAGGACAAAAAGAGUCCAAUCAAUCCAUUGGUUUGGAUCAGGUUCUGCACCCACUGAAAGAUAACAUAGAAACAUAAGUCCUAAGUAACAUUUUGCAGAAAGUAUUUCGGUGUUCGUGACAAGUAAAGAACUCCUAGAAUGUGAUUGUACCUUGUUUUGACAUGUUAACCAGUUGAAAGCUCUUAGUGAUUUAAUCGAUGAUUCCAUGCUGAUUUUGACAUCCCCCAACGCCACCCCCCCCCCCACACACACCCACACCCACACCCACCCAAGUAGGUAGAAGUUGGUUGGUGCGAAAUGCUAGUUUUGCAUCUUGUAGUUUAUUUUGUACCCCAGUAACUCAGGAAGUGAAUGUAAUAUAUAAGAUUUACAUAUCUUGUAUAGCUGUUUCAGUUACAAAGUAUGACUAUUCAGGCGAAGAGAGUUCUAGUGUUAAGGGAUGCUACAUUUAAAUGUAUAGAUGGUUUAGCUGAUCUAGAAACUAGGUGCCAUACUUAUAGUUACCACAUUAGGUGUUAACCAGGUUUGUGAUGCAUUAAGCAUGUCAUGAAAAUGACUUGCCAGGGGUAAUCCUCUUCAUUAUGCGAGCAGGGGAUUUGGUUUGUGAACCUUGUAAUUUCGGAAUCCGUUUCACAAUAGUGUUUCAUGGUUAGUGAACCCUGUAGUUUUGGUUUACUAAAUCCAAUCUGUAACAGCAUGCUGUGAUCUGAGAAAAACCCAAGAUUUAGUGUGAAUAAUUUCAAAAUGCACUUAUUGCUAGUACCACUAGUCAACUAAGAGAGCAUGAUAACCUAUGUGUGACUUCAUGUCUUCAUGUCUUCAUUCUGGACUAAUGCGAAAGGCUGACAGUAAUGGAUCAUAGUAGGGUUCAUUAUUUGUUUCCUUUGCCUAUCCUGUGAGACCACCCAACAGAUUCAUGUUGUAGUUGGACCCCUCCUAUGAUGCUUUACCGAUGUAUCAGUUAUUCCCAACCACAUAAUCCCUCAUUGGCCUACACCAACUUGGAGGUGGGGUUGCUUAUCAAGUACCACGAAUGGAAUGAUUUUUGCAGGUCAUGCGUUUCCUUUAUUGUAGGUCAUUUUGCAACGGACAGCAAGUGGUGAGCCUGUUUCUUCCUGUAUAGGGUCAGUGGCCUACAACCACUGGAAGAAGGUAAGUGGCACAUCCUAUUCAUAGGCUACAGGAAAUGCUAUUUGACAUUUGUACAUCCUAUUCAUAGGUUAUGCUACUGUCACUGUGAAGAGAUUGUUACGGAAAGGUGUAGGUGUAGAACACCUUUUACAUUGGGAGCAUAUAUGAUGAUUCUCUUCCUGUCGUUUCACAAUUCACAGGUUAAUUGAUUGAGGAGCAUUAAAACUUCACAAACUUUUCUUCAUAUUCUAGCAUUUAAACUAACAGUAUGAGUGGAUCACAUUCAGUUACCAUGGGCUUCCAUAGAAUUCCUAUCUUUCAAGCAAGAGGAGAUGUUGCCCAAGAUUCUAACCUCCUUAUCUGUUGACUUUUCCCCCUUUUUAUGUUUUCCCCCUUUCUACAAAUUCGGAAGAGAAAUAUAUAUAUCUACAUGUAUAGCCUUCACCAGUAGAAUCAAUCUUCUCUUUAUUUCUUCAAAUUUUAUGCAGACAAAUUAAUCUGCAGACACUAUCGUGUCCAUGUCCUGUCCUGUUCCCACAUGUUUUUCUUUUUCUUUUCUCUUCUUGGAUGUGGGUAUCCUUUGGCUGCUAGCUAUGUUGCUAUUGGUAUAGUUUGCCAUCAUAUUAUACAGUAUCUUUGUUAUAUGGUGGGAAGCAUGUUUCAUAUGAUUAGCAAUAGCACGCAUAUGUCAGCUACUAUCUGUACCGCAUGGCCCCUUGCAGUUAUUCAGCUCAAGGAUUUUGUGAUUUUGUCCCUCCUCAAAGUGCUCACAUGUAUUGACAACGACUCUUCUUGUAAGUUAUCGUGCUGAUCUUGUUUCUUUUUCAUUCAUACUUAAGUAAUACACCAGUCGGGUUUUUUUCGUCAUUUGGGUCAUGGAUUUGUUUUCGUAUACUAUCCCUCGUGCUCUGUGUGCCCAAAUAUCAUUGCGUGCUGAAGUGCUGAUCGAGCUGCUGUGGUUCAAUUAUUUUCUUUUAUUUUAUUUUACUGGCGGCUCGGUUCCGUCUUUUUCAUCGCUAUAUUUCUGUGAAUAAAGUUGCAUUUGUUCCGAAGAAUAUAAUAUAUUCGCGAUGCGAGAGGAGCCUCAUCUUUUUUGCCUUUUGAUGAUAGUCCUGGAUUCUCUCCAGUUAGGUCUAUCGGGAUAAUCAUGAAUCUGAAUAGAUAAUAGUGACUGAGGUAACCUUGAGAAGUUCCUCUUUUUUUCCCCGUUCACUGGAGAUUGAAAGAAUUCCUAAAAGAAAAGGUCCUUUGUUGAAACUUUUCCCCAGAGUAUUCAGGUCAGAGUUUGAUCUAUGCAAAUGUUUGUGCAGCUGUGAAUCUAGAGCAAUGUGGAAUUAAGCCGUGUCAGUUCUUGAACCGGACCGGAGAAAUUGACCGGAAUGUAUGUUGAAUUGAUCUGAUGAUACUUUAGUACAUGAUACUAGUACAGUAUGGUUUAUCAAGAGGAUAGUUAGCAGGCUAGCUUCUGUUUGUCACACCAGAUGUCAAAUUUCUCCUUUUCUUUUUUGAAAAGUUACACCAGAUGUCAUAUUUCUCGUUCUGCUACAAUCCCUUGUCCUGGACGUUUCGGCCUUCUUGUUUUAUGCCGAAAAUUUCUAAAAAGGCGUUUGUCUUUUUCCUCAAGAAAAAGAAAGGAAGAAAAAGGAAAGAGUUACGGGCA